CUCAAACCCUAGUCGCCAGUACCCUCGCCGGAGAAGAAGAACCAGUCGCCGGAGGAGCCGGCUGCCGCCACCCGCCAUCGCACCGGAGGGUUUUUCGACUGCUAAACGAGGUAAAUUUUCUCCCAUUGGCUUGUUUUUCGAUGCUGAAUCCGCCUACAGCCAAAUCGGAGCCAAACCACCGGCCAAUCGGUCGAAAAACACCGUCGAAGUCUAGCGGCGCCGUCGCGACUUCCCUCGGUUUUUGCCUCCGAUGAGGCCCUUUCUGGUUCCUGUUCGAUGCAAUUUUUACACCACUAUGAUCACCGUCUUUUUCUCUACAGGUUGACCAGAGCAAAACAUCAAACCGCGACUCGCACCGGAGAAGCCGCCGCACCCGAGAGCUCCGCCGCCGGUAAAU
RNAcentral lists this long non-coding RNA (397 nucleotides) under Carica papaya (papaya). RNAcentral describes it as "long non-coding RNA (CPAP_LNC001006)". The record is from RNAcentral. Lineage: Eukaryota; Viridiplantae; Streptophyta; Magnoliopsida; Brassicales; Caricaceae.